AGUGAACGCUGGCGGUAGGCCUAACACAUGCAAGUCGAACGGCAGCACAGUAAGAGCUUGCUCUUACGGGUGGCGAGUGGCGGACGGGUGAGGAAUACAUCGGAAUCUACUUUUUCGUGGGGGAUAACGUAGGGAAACUUACGCUAAUACCGCAUACGACCUACGGGUGAAAGCAGGGGAUCUUCGGACCUUGCGCGAUUGAAUGAGCCGAUGUCGGAUUAGCUAGUUGGCGGGGUAAAGGCCCACCAAGGCGACGAUCCGUAGCUGGUCUGAGAGGAUGAUCAGCCACACUGGAACUGAGACACGGUCCAGACUCCUACGGGAGGCAGAAGUGGGGAAUAUUGGACAAUGGGCGCAAGCCUGAUCCAGCCAUACCGCGUGGGUGAAGAAGGCCUUCGGGUUGUAAAGAACUUUUGUUGGGAAAGAAAAGCAGCAGGUUAAUACCCCGCUGUUCUGACGGUACCCAAAGAAUAAGCACCGGCUAACUUAGUG
This 492-nucleotide ribosomal RNA is filed under the name uncultured bacterium. RNAcentral's name for it is "partial 16S ribosomal RNA". It matches the Rfam family "Bacterial small subunit ribosomal RNA", at positions 29 to 507 of the family's 1533-position model. The record is from RNAcentral.